AACGAACGCUGGCGGCAGGCUUAACACAUGCAAGUCGAGCGCCCCGCAAGGGUAGCGGCCGACGGGUGAGUAACGCGUGGGAACUUACCCUUAUCUUCGGGAUAUCUCCGGGAAACUGGAAUUAAUACCGAAUGUGCCCUUUGGUGGAACGUUUUAUCGGAUAAGGAUCGGCCCGCGUUGGAUUAGCUAGUUGGCGUGGUAAAGGCCUACCAAGGCGACGAUCCAUAGCUGGUCUGAGAGGAUGAUCAGCCACAUUGGGACUGAGACACGGCCCAAACUCCUACGGGAGGCAGCAGUGGGGAAUAUUGGACAAUGGGCGCAAGCCUGAGCCAGCCAGGCCGCGUGAGUGAUGAAGGACUUAGGGUUGUAAAGCUGUGUCAACGGAGAAGAUAAUGACGGUAUCCGGAGAAGAAGCCCCGGCUAACUUCGUG
This 431-nucleotide ribosomal RNA is filed under the name uncultured bacterium. Its description in RNAcentral is "partial 16S ribosomal RNA". It matches the Rfam family "Bacterial small subunit ribosomal RNA", at positions 29 to 507 of the family's 1533-position model. The record is from RNAcentral.